UACAGGCACUGUUUCCCUUUCAGUUUCAUGAUUGUCAUCCCUCUCACCAAGCCAUGACUUUAGAACUAUGUUCACGGGGCAAAAACAUACAUCCAUUUAAGAAUUCUAGAAUCAGAGACUAGGAAGAGUUGAAACAACCUUACAGAUCACUUGAUGCACUUUAUAUAGACCCAGGGGAGAAACAAAAAGACCAACUACUAAAGCUGCUAAAACAAGAUAAAGCAUACUGCAAGGGAAAGGCUGGAGCAGUUCACUGGCUGAAGUUAUAAACUCCAUCAAGAGACACACAAUCAGAUGGCACAACUGUCUUCAGUGGGUCACAGUUUUCCAAAUACAAAGGCGGUGCCUACCGAAGCUCUGGGAUUCUGGAAAAUAUACUGGACUUGGAGUAAGACAAUCUCAGUCCAUGUUCCUAGUUCUAGGAUUUUAGGCAUAACACUUGGCUUUUAGGGCAUUGUAUUUUCUUUAUAGUAACAUGGUAUUAAAAUGAUGCCUAUCAACAGGCUUGUCAGGAUGAGUCAACAGCAUAUUAGAUGGGAAAACACCAUAAAGUACAAAAGGCUUGUUAUCGUCAGUCUCCUUUGGUUGUUAUAUUGGUUAAGAGGACUAAUUGUUGCCUCUCUCCAAGUUCAGAACUAAUUCAAACAUACAUAGAGGAGUCAGAGGUGGAUCAAACAUUAUUUUUAUUACUAGUUAAGUUGGAUUUAAGAACAUGGCUUGACUUAUAGCUUCCUACUGUAUCCUAUAACACACUAUUUUUUCAUAUUCUGCCCUUUCUCCUUGAUUAUACUAUAAGCUUUUGGAGAGAAGAAAUUAUGCUUUAUAUCUCUCUGCAUCCCUAGAGUUUUUCACACAGCCAUAACCCCAGCAGGUGUGCUAUCUGAUAAAGGAGACUGCAUUUGUACCACAGUUUUCUAUGUGAAGCCUUUUUUCUCCACUGGCCUGGGAACUCUUGGAGGGCAGGGUUCAUGUCUUUUCAUUCCCAGUGCUUAGCAUAAUACCUAGCACAUAGUAGAUUCUUUAUAAAAGUGUGUUGAAAGAUCAUGAAAACAGAAGGGUACCAAAUGAUCUGGUGCCACCCAGGGGUUGCAGAGAGGGAUUUAUUUAUUUUUUAUUUUUUUUUUAGGAUUAUUAUGAAUAACAGUGAAUAUAAAUAUGGAUUGAAAAUAGUCCUUUUGGUGAUUUCAAAAUUUUCUGGUUGGCCUCUGAGACAGGUGGCAUCUUAAUGAAAGAGGGGAAGCUCCCCAUCUGGGAAGGCUCAGAAGUGGGGCCUACCCUAUUUCCUUAACACUCAGGACACUAGGAAGCCUUGCAGUUUACUUGUAUCCAAGUGAGGGGAUUUGCCUAUUCUGUUAUCUACUUUGAAAUGUUAGCUCCUAAAACAUGGGCAGGUAGCUUAAAAAGACAUCUGAAAUAAACACUGGAUUGAAGGCAAUGCUAAUAAUGGAAGCACAAGUGAACAACAAGCAAAAGGCAGGCUGACACUUCUAUUAUUCUUGAUAUAAACUUUUCUUCAACCAUGUUAUAAAGUAAAAAAUAACGAUGAACUAAGCAGAGAGGGAUUUAAAGGAGGGCUGUCUUCUAAGGAUCCCAUUCUUGACAGUUUGUUCAUUUGGAAAAUAGCACUACCUGCAAAUUAUUGUGAUUGAAGGUUUUAUUUGAGACAGUUUUCCCCAGGAGAAACUUCAGCUUCUGUUUACUUGUUAGGCACCCUGGCUAUCUGGGCAUCUGAGCCCUGGACAUCUUAAUUAGAGUUGGUCUGCUAAUGUCCAUAGCAGAGAGGAACUGUCACUUGGUAAUUAAGUUAGAGCCAUGACAGAAGCCUGUGACAUCUGAUGUUUCAGAAUAUAACAACCCUUGUUCUUCUCCCAAGGGAUGCACACACCAUGAAACAAUUUCCUUUGGAGUUGCUGGUAGAAUCUGCUAACAUAAUAUCUAAGAUGAGAUGGCAUGCAGAGGUCUCUGUAAGGGGUGAGGACCUCAAAACACUCUUGUGAAGUAUGCUGCUCCUCAGUUCAGGGCCUUGCAGAGGAUCUGAGACAACAAACCUUCCUAUACAGAUAAACUCUCGGUGCCUCAGUGGAGUGAGUGCAUGAGAUGUGGCUUACUCAGCUGUGGCCACCUGGGCAGGGUUGUUGUGGAGUCAGGUCCUCUGCUUUAUGUGAUUGUUUCUGUGUUUUUUAAGCCCUGAGCUGUGCUUCCAGAGAUGUCUGCACCUGUGCACUGCAUUUUGGACUAUAUGCUCUGUGGACGCUGUGAGAAUCCCCUAACUUUGCUUUUUUUUUUUUAGGACAAAUCAGAAUAAAACAAUUCAACUUUCAAGGUAUUAAAAGGAUUCACCAACUCCUAUCUCUUAACACAAUGGCCAAAAAACUGCUGGACUCAAGGCACAGUCAUGUAUUCCUGGCAUAAGGCCUGCCUGGGUGUUCUAACUCAAUGAGCCCCACAUGCCAGACUAUUUCCACAGAGCUGAUAUGGGACAGGAAGGGCUAAGGAACUUCAAAACUAAUAGUUUGGUGCAACUGAUAUGGACCUGUGCAGUCACUGACCACAUGUAGCACUGAGAACUUGAAAUGUUGCAAGUGUGACUGAGGAAGUGAAUUAUUAAAACUUAUUUUUAACUAAAUUUAAAAGGUGAUAGCUAAUUCAGUCACUAGAAACAUUUUAAGUAUGUAAGUCUACUUUUCCAAUCGUAAGUUUUAUGAAAUCUAACCAACUAUUUAUGAAAAAAAUUCAGUGUCUAAAUUGAAGAUGUGCUAUAAAUGCACAUUAUAUAGGAGAUUUAAAAGACCUGGUCUGAAAAAAAAAAAGAAAGCAAAUAUUUCACUAGAUUUUUUUAUUGAUUAUAUGUUGAAAUAAUGUUUUGAAUACAUUGGUUUAAAUACAAAUAUUAUUUAAAUUGCUUUUGCCUAUUUCUUUUCACUUUUUCUACUGUGGCUACUAGAAAAUUUGAAAUUACAUAUGUGCCUUGUGUUCUAUGUCCAUUAGACUGGGCCAACCUAGACCAUAAUUCUCAUUCUCUCUAAUGAAGUCUCAUCCAACAAUAUGGACCACUUGAGAAACCUGCUCAUUGUUCCUCUGUCCAGUUCAUUCCACUUUAAUGCCAUGUUUCUUUGGUCUCCCAUGUGCCAGGCAUUGUUCUAGGCUAAGAAUACACCAUGUGGGCUCUUAACUGACUGUAGGCAAUAAACAAAGAACAACAAAAAAAAUUGUAUAAUUUCAAGUGCUGUGCAGAACUUAAACUAGGGAAAAGUAAUGGAGAGAGACUGGGUGAUGUGUUUAUGCUGAGUGGUGAGGGGAACUGCUGUGGGGAGGUCCUGGGGCUGUAAUCUGAACAGCAGGGAGCCACCCAUGCCAGGCUGGGACAAACAACUGGUCAAAGAACUUCGCAAGGAAUAAGUUGAAGUGCUUGAAGAAGGAAAAGAACAUCAGUGUGACUGGAGUACUGCUGUGCAGAGGGAUGUAGGAGAGGACAUCCUAGCAUGCACACUGCACUGAGAAUCUGGACUCAUGCUUAAGCCUCUUCUCUCACAUCAACUAGGCUUGGAUCCUGGGUAAGUCACUUCUCCACUCAGGAUGGCCUCCAUUUCCUCAUGCACUAAACACAGUGGCAAUUACUAAAGGAUCUUCCUUUCAGGUCUGACGGCAUAGACUUUUGUGACUCUUCUGUAUAUUCUAGGGAAUAAAAGUCCUGUCCUAGAAAAUUAAAGAAAGAGGAAACAAACAGAAACACUCUGACCCUUUAAAGAUUUAGCAACUGCUUAUCUGAUGCUUACCUUUCUCUUCCUCUCCCUCUUCUUUAAAAAAAUGAAAAUUACAUGACAUCUAGCCAACCCACUCUCAUAUAACAUCAAAGGGUAAACUUCUAAAUUCCCUGUUGUACACACAAGAAUGUUUUCCUCCAAAAUCUGGACCACCUUCCUCACAAAUACAAUCAGAUGUCCUGCACAGAGACUGCCCUUCUUUAUAAUUAGACUACAAUUCCUAUGAAAGUCAAUAUUUUCUAGUUUUCAGAACUUUACGUUUUCGAAGUAUUCCUUGAACUUCGGGAAAUUUGGAGGAUUGUCAGGCUGGCAAUGAUUCUGCCAAAAGUUUCUUCUGUGGCAAAACAUUAUCAAGGAGACCACAUCUAUAAAAGCCACAUCUCCAGGGAAAGAAUAAAAUACCUGGUCAUACUCAUUUAUCAUUAUGAUUUAAUAAUGCAAAAGAGAGGCCCAUGGGACUACAUCCAGGGCGAACUUCAAUUACAUCUCUAACCCAGGGGCAUAUGACAAAUGUUUAACAAUCAGCCCUUCACCAGCCAUCUCCAGCCCUUACAUGGAACCUCCAUACUGGUUUUCAGAGAAUGAGACUUAGGACGGGUUCAUAGAGGAGAGGAGGAAGAUGCAGUAAGUUGUAUUUGUAACAUGAUACAUGAGAACCAGGAACAAGGUCCUAGCAAUGGAAGCGAGAUGAGGUUUUACUUUAUAUUCAGAGAGAUGGGAGGAGUAGGGGAGCACAUGAUGAUGAUGGUAAGAAUAACAUCAGCCCAACAUUUAUAGCACUUUUUAAAAUGCUUUGUAUAUAUUAAACCAAUCAAACAU
This 4583-nucleotide long non-coding RNA is filed under the name Homo sapiens (human). RNAcentral describes it as "HSALNT0060724". Lineage: Eukaryota; Metazoa; Chordata; Mammalia; Primates; Hominidae. The record is from RNAcentral.